UUUUUUUAAGCAACUCUGAAAAGAGUCCUUAUUCUGUGUAUUUCUGGAGGAGGAACAGUUCAGCCCCCUCACACCACCUACAGCUUCCAGCCUGGAGGUCAGUGUCCCCCCUCGACUCUGAAACACCCUCCCCCCGGUCACACUCCCAUGUACACGUCCCCACCAGCCGACGCAGCCGUCAUUAUUGUACCCAUCACAAGGCAAACUGAGUCCUGACACCUGAAGAGGCAGUUUUAGAAUCAGUAAGACAAGCAAAGAUUGACACUUCCCACUAAUUUUUCACGCUAAGAAGGAACAGUGUGCUCCUCUGCAGAAGGUCUCUGCGGAGCCUGGUGCCGAGGCCUGGGGAAGGCCUUGCUGUUCUGCUCAUAAUGAAAUCAAUGGACUUGAUGCAAUUAAGGGAUUGGCUGAUUUUCGGACCCCAUUAAAAAAAGGUGCAAGGUUGAGAGAAGACCUCAUUCAUACGCCUUUAUAGAUCAGAUAUCCGGUUAACUCGUGUCUAUGAUCUGCACUAAUGUGCUUCCGUUGGCAUUUUAUUUUCCCCUUUUCAUUUAGGGCGUAACUUUCCAAAGAAGGCUAAAGAUGCCAGCACUACGGAGCUAACAGCGGCCUCACCAACGAUGAGCCAGACUGUGCCACUAGCCGUGAGAUAAGGUGCUUCACAAAGUGGACGGACGCCGUGGAGACUGGAAACUCUCCUAGGUGGAGAAGAAAGAUCUCCUCCUUUAGUUUCCGUUUUGAAAUAUUCUUGGAGGGAAUUGGGAACUUGAUUGGCCUGACUCAGGUCACGCAUCCAUCUUCCGGACCUUUCACUGUGGCAGAGGAGUCCCGUUCAGACCACGCAGCUAGCGAACGAAAGGGCCCAGCGCCCAGGGGUAGAGGAGCACAGACGUGGUGGGAACUGGUCUAAACUACAGCCUCGGCCUGGUCAGGAUUCUUUUGCUUGCAACUGUCAGAUUUCAAUCAAGAAAAGUAAAGGGGUGAAUGUUGGUGUAACCAGAGAGCAUUUGUAAAGCUGGCCUCGGAAACGAUGGAACCAGGCUCCCUCAUGCUCUCCGUUCCUUUCCCUCUGCUCCCCUCUGCCACUGGCCUCGUUUUCCCAGGUUCCCUUUUCCCGCCAGGCUGGAACCACAGCUCUAAGAACGUCCAGCCUCACGUCUUCCCAGUCUGGCUGUCAGAGAGGAAUGUGCUCUGACCCACAGCUCCAAUAGAGGAUGGGCCCCAGCUUUGGACAGGCCAUCCCCAAGGCCAUCCCCAGCGCCCAUCCCCUGCUCCAAGGCCGGGGAAGAAGGGUCAGGUAAGACAAGGGAAGAGUUCAUUCUGAUGGGAUGGAUAAUUCAAAGAAGGAAUAGUCCUGGGCCCCUGGAUGGCUCAGUGGGUUAAGCAUCUGACUCUUAAUUUUGGCUCAAGUCAUGAUCUCAGCAUCAGGAGAUCAAGCCCCACGUCGGGCCUUGCCCUCAGUGGGGAGUCUGCUUGAAGAUCUCCCCCUCUGCCCCUCCCCUGACACACUCUUUCUCAAAUAAAUAAGUCCUAAAAAAAAAAAAAAAAAAAGCAGAUCCCCCAAACCACAACUCCACUGUUUUUACAGUCCUAGGAAUUGAGAAAUGACUCACUAGAAUAUGGCCUUGGGUAAAUCACCAACCUUUCUGGCUUCUGGUUUCUUCAUUCAACCAGUUAUUCUUCUAGAACUUACAUUUAUUGAACCUAUUUCAGUGGCUCUCAAACUUCGGGGUACACCAGAAUCACUUUAGGAGUCAUUUUAAAAUCCAGAUUCCCAGGAGGCCCCUGGCUGGCUCAGUGAGUAGAGCAUGCAGCUCUUGAUCUCAGGGUUGUAAGUUCAAGUCCCACAUACAGUGAUUACUUGAAAAUAGAAUCUUAAAAACAUAAUAGUAACAUUCAAAAAUAAAAUGCAUAUUCCCAGGCCCAGCCCCAGCCACUGUCUCUGUAGGUCUGAGAUAGGACUCACCAAUCUGCAUUUACUGAAUGAGUCUUAGGCUGGUGGUGCCCAUGCCAUACUUUAAGGAAUAAUGAAUGGGAUGGUUUGAGAUCCUUGCUUAGAUAGUUUGUGAUGUAGGCAAAUACGAGCUGUGUUCUGGUUCAGGAAAGACCAACGUGAGAAGGGAAGGGUUUGGCAUAGCCCAGAAUCAAUUGAAGGGAAGAGCAGCAUCCCCAGGUCAGCUGUGGGCCGGAAUGUGCAGGCAAGGCCUCGUAACUGUGUGUGGAGAAGGUUCUGUUCUGUUCAUAGAAGAUUCUGUUUCCCAAGGGAAACACCUAAAGGUCCCUGGCUGCCUUCAUCCCCAACAGUCCUGGGCCUUUUCAUGCCUCUAGAAGCUCCCCUUGAUGUGCAUUUUUUCUGACCCUGUAUUGAAACAUAAACAAGCGCAGUGGGCAAGAGAACCC
This 2400-nucleotide long non-coding RNA is filed under the name Canis lupus familiaris (dog). Its description in RNAcentral is "lncRNA (ENSCAFG00000053246.1)". The record is from RNAcentral. Lineage: Eukaryota; Metazoa; Chordata; Mammalia; Carnivora; Canidae.